This 483-nucleotide ribosomal RNA is filed under the name uncultured bacterium. RNAcentral's name for it is "partial 16S ribosomal RNA". It matches the Rfam family "Bacterial small subunit ribosomal RNA", at positions 28 to 523 of the family's 1533-position model. The record is from RNAcentral.
GACGAACGCUGGCGGCGUGCUUUACACAUGCAAGUCGAACGGUGAAGGUGGAGCUUGCUCCGCCGGAUCAGUGGCGAACGGGUGAGUAACACGUGGGCAACCUGCCCCUAACUUUGGGAUAACUACUCGAAAGAGUAGCUAAUACCGGAUAUGAAGUCUGUAGGCAUCUACGGACUUGGAAAGUUUUUCGGUUAGGGAUGGGCCCGCGGCGUAUCAGUUUGUUGGUGCGGUAGUGGCUCACCAAGGCGACGACGGGUAGCCGGCCUGAGAGGGCGACCGGCCACACUGGGACUGAGACACGGCCCAGACUCCUACGGGAGGCAGCAGUGGGGAAUAUUGCGCAAUGGGCGAAAGCCUGACGCAGCAACGCCGCGUGCGGGAUGAAGGCCUUCGGGUUGUAAACCGCUUUCAGCAGGGAAGAAGCGAAAGUGACGGUACCUGCAGAAGAAGCACCGGCUAACUACGUGCCAGCAGCCGCGGUAA